Molecule: transfer RNA, 67 nt
Filed under: Cronobacter sakazakii 701
Lineage: Bacteria; Pseudomonadati; Pseudomonadota; Gammaproteobacteria; Enterobacterales; Enterobacteriaceae
Description: tRNA-Thr-GGT
Rfam family: tRNA
About the family: Transfer RNA (tRNA) molecules are approximately 80 nucleotides in length. Their secondary structure includes four short double-helical elements and three loops (D, anti-codon, and T loops).
Source: RNAcentral
GCAACUCAGUUGGUAGAGCGCACCCUUGGUAAGGGUGAGGUCCCCAGUUCGACUCUGGGUAUCAGCA